AUUGAACGCUGGCGGCAUGCCUUACACAUGCAAGUCGAACGGCAGCACGGGUGCUUGCACCUGGUGGCGAGUGGCGAACGGGUGAGUAAUACAUCGGAACAUGUCCUGUAGUGGGGGAUAGCCCGGCGAAAGCCGGAUUAAUACCGCAUACGAUCUACGUAUGAAAGCGGGGGUCCUUCGGGCCUCGCGCUAUAGGGUUGGCCGAUGGCUGAUUAGCUAGUUGGUGGGGUAAAGGCCUACCAAGGCGACGAUCAGUAGCUGGUCUGAGAGGACGACCAGCCACACUAGAACUGAGACACGGCCCAGACUCCUACGGGGGGCAGCAGUGGGGAAUUUUGGACAAUGGGCGAAAGCCUGAUCCAGCAAUGCCGCGUGUGUGAAGAAGGCGUUCGGGUUGUAAAGCACUUUUGUCCGGAAGGAAAUCCUUGGCUCUAAUACAGUCGGGGGAUGACGGUACCGGAAGAAUAAGCACCGGCUAACUACGUG
RNAcentral lists this ribosomal RNA (486 nucleotides) under uncultured bacterium. RNAcentral describes it as "partial 16S ribosomal RNA". It matches the Rfam family "Bacterial small subunit ribosomal RNA", at positions 30 to 507 of the family's 1533-position model. The record is from RNAcentral.